CUGUGUAAAAUGACUCAUAACACUCUGAUUGGUGGAUUAAGUAACCAAUCAGAGUGUUAUGAGUCAUUUUACACAG
Molecule: non-coding RNA, 76 nt
Organism: Pelobates cultripes (western spadefoot toad)
Lineage: Eukaryota; Metazoa; Chordata; Amphibia; Anura; Pelobatidae
Source: the annotation of a GenBank genome assembly